AUACCUUUCUCGGCCUUUUGGCUAAGAUCAAGUGUAGUAUCUGUUCUUAUCAGUUUAAUAUCUGAUAUGUGGGUCAUUGGCCCACUCGAUAUUAAUCUUAUUUUUUAUGGGGAAAGACCCAUCACAAUAGCUUGCUAUUGGGGUCUUUAAGCGUCGCCUUGGCGUUGCACUACUGCCUUGGGCUGGCGCACCCCUC
RNAcentral lists this small nuclear RNA (196 nucleotides) under Helianthus annuus (common sunflower). RNAcentral's name for it is "U2 spliceosomal RNA". It matches the Rfam family "U2 spliceosomal RNA". From Rfam's summary of the family: U2 is a small nuclear RNA (snRNA) component of the spliceosome (involved in pre-mRNA splicing). Complementary binding between U2 snRNA (in an area lying towards the 5' end but 3' to hairpin I) and the branchpoint sequence (BPS) of the intron results the bulging out of an unpaired adenosine, on the BPS, which initiates a nucleophilic attack at the intronic 5' splice site, thus starting the first of two transesterification reactions that mediate splicing. Lineage: Eukaryota; Viridiplantae; Streptophyta; Magnoliopsida; Asterales; Asteraceae. The record is from RNAcentral.